RNAcentral lists this transfer RNA (475 nucleotides) under Candidatus Liberibacter solanacearum. RNAcentral's name for it is "partial 16S-23S ribosomal RNA intergenic spacer". The stretch from base 45 to 118 matches the Rfam family "tRNA". The record is from RNAcentral. Lineage: Bacteria; Pseudomonadati; Pseudomonadota; Alphaproteobacteria; Hyphomicrobiales; Rhizobiaceae.
UUUGAUAAUUUUGCGGUUGAUGGGGUCAUUUAAGUUUAUGUUAAGGGCCCAUAGCUCAGGCGGUUAGAGUGCACCCCUGAUAAGGGUGAGGUCGGUAGUUCGAAUCUACCUGGGCCCACCAUUCAAUCAGGCAAGGGGCCGUAGCUCAGCUGGGAGAGCGCCUGCUUUGCAAGCAGGAUGUCAGCGGUUCGAUCCCGCUCGGCUCCACCAAUUGCGAAUUUAUAGUUUUUUUGUUCUAGGGAUUUUUUUUAAAGCAAUAGUUUUUUGAAAAUUGAAUAAAAGGGAGAUUUUUUUGUAUUUUUUAUAUUGGCAUUGUAUGCGAUAUGGGAGGUACCGACGUUGUAUAACCGCACGUUGAAAAUUUAUCUCAGGAAAUUGGUCUAUUGAAAGAGCAUAAUUUAUUUAUGUUUUUUUAAUUAAGAAACGUUUGUAAUGAACUUUAUGACGUAUUGACAAUGAGAGUAAUCAAGCGCGA